GACUUCACCUGAAACUAAGACUUCACCUAAAACAAAGACUUCACCUGAAACUAAGACAUCACCUGAAACAAAAAGUUUGAAAUCAUCCAAGUCCAAUGCGUCUAUUCCUUCUCAUUGUGACAAUGAAAUUUUACCUGAUCCUCCAUUAAAGAAGCGAUCACGGAAAGGCUACUUUUAUAGUUGUGGCUGGAUGAGCCAUUUGUGGCCGAGCUGCAAGUGUUUGAGUUGUUGCUCAUCAU
This 239-nucleotide small RNA is filed under the name Vigna angularis var. angularis. RNAcentral describes it as "Non-protein coding transcript". Lineage: Eukaryota; Viridiplantae; Streptophyta; Magnoliopsida; Fabales; Fabaceae. The record is from RNAcentral.